Molecule: transfer-messenger RNA, 362 nt
Filed under: bacterium
Lineage: Bacteria
Rfam family: transfer-messenger RNA
About the family: Bacterial tmRNA, also known as 10Sa RNA or SsrA, is named for its dual tRNA and mRNA-like properties.
Source: RNAcentral
GGGGAUGACAUGAAUCGACAAGGAACGUAUCGAUAAGAAUUCGAAGCUGAGGUAGACCACAAACUCAUAAAACUGGUUACAAAUAGUAAGUGCAAACUUAUUUAGCGCUAAUAAACCAGCGUUUGCUGUAGCUUAAAAUCUAUCAGCCAUCGCCCUGUUUUCGCCCGAGUAAACAGUGUGCGGUGCCAACCUUUCGGGCCGCUCUUUCAGGCCAGGCGAACUUGAAAGCUAAGACAACGCCAAAAGUUUAAUUUUUUUCACCAUUCUUUAAGGGUUAAACUUAAAUUAAGAAUGGUUAGGCUUCGUACUAGUUCAAUCGAGAAAUUUUUUGUACGCGGGUUCAAUUCCCGCCAUCUCCACUG